Molecule: transfer RNA, 76 nt
Filed under: Clostridia bacterium
Lineage: Bacteria; Bacillati; Bacillota; Clostridia
Description: tRNA-Lys
Rfam family: tRNA
About the family: Transfer RNA (tRNA) molecules are approximately 80 nucleotides in length. Their secondary structure includes four short double-helical elements and three loops (D, anti-codon, and T loops).
Source: RNAcentral
GAUUUGCUAGCUCAGUCGGUAGAGCACUUGACUUUUAAUCAAGGGGUCUUGGGUUCGAGUCCCAAGCAGAUCACCA